UGAACAAUGAAGUUUAUGGAAUAACUAUGAGGGCAAAAAUCUCCAACCUUACCGACAACAUUGACAUGUCCUUUACACAUAACGAUAAGAACGGUAAUGUGUCCUGUGUUUCUUGGGAUGGCAAAGGAAGACUCAAUUGGACGACGUUCGGCUGUAAGACAGAAAUCAACAACAACUCCAUAAAGUGCUCCUGCUCACAUCUGACGUU
Sinocyclocheilus grahami is the source of this 208-nucleotide long non-coding RNA. RefSeq lists it as uncharacterized. The transcript is spliced from 3 exons. The record is from RefSeq and is a predicted model, not a curated record. Lineage: Eukaryota; Metazoa; Chordata; Actinopteri; Cypriniformes; Cyprinidae.